Molecule: long non-coding RNA, 620 nt
Organism: Paramisgurnus dabryanus
Lineage: Eukaryota; Metazoa; Chordata; Actinopteri; Cypriniformes; Cobitidae
Source: RefSeq, a predicted model, not a curated record
CUCAACUGUUAUUGGUCAGCUGGGUUCGGCGUGUGUUUGAAAGGUUACGCCCCUGACUACGCGUGGGUUGACACAGAUUCUGACUGAGAGUCACAGCCUCAGAGGCAACGUAAACAAGCGUUAUAUUUCUCUAUAAACGAUGGUGUCUGUACUGCCUUACCACUUCGAGCUCGAUCCAGAGAGUUCAGAAGGCCGUUACGAUAUAAACGAUCUCCGUCAAUGAACGCGAUUGGAUUUAACUUUUUUAGGUGUCCUUAGCUCUGCCAGAAUGCUAAACGAAGACGAAAAUGUGUUGCAAAGACAUCCAAAAGGUUUUAAGGAGAAUGCAACAGGUUCCAGGGCCUCUUACCUGCGUGAUUCAUCAUCCAGGUUUUGCACAAAUUGUCUAAAUCCCUACACACAGAACAUUUAUUGUACCGACUAUAAGCCUUUGAGGCGCAGGACUAGAAUAUGCUUGGAGCUUCCUGAUCGGAAUGUUGGCUUUCGACGACCCCUGCACUGAAGAUGGCAUGCAAUCACGUCCUCCUUUGAAGGUCUCUCAAACUGUGAUGCCAGGUCCAUUGGAAUCAGGGCUUCCUUCAGCUUAUCUUCAAAUACCUCAGCAAACACAAGCCUGAUCA